RNAcentral lists this ribosomal RNA (485 nucleotides) under uncultured bacterium. Its description in RNAcentral is "bacterial SSU rRNA". It matches the Rfam family "Bacterial small subunit ribosomal RNA", at positions 501 to 988 of the family's 1533-position model. The record is from RNAcentral.
CUACGUGCCAGCAGCCGCGGCAAUACGUAGGUGGCAAGCGUUGUCCGGAUUUAUUGGGCGUAAAGCGAGCGCAGGCGGUUCCUUAAGUCUGAUGUGAAAGCCCCCGGCUCAACCGGGGAGGGUCAUUGGAAACUGGGGAACUUGAGUGCAGAAGAGGAGAGUGGAAUUCCAUGUGUAGCGGUGAAAUGCGUAGAUAUAUGGAGGAACACCAGUGGCGAAGGCGACUCUCUGGUCUGUAACUGACGCUGAGGCUCGAAAGCGUGGGUAGCAAACAGGAUUAGAUACCCUGGUAGUCCACGCCGUAAACGAUGAUUACUAGGUGUUGGGGGUCGAACCUCAGCGCCCAAGCUAACGCGAUAAGUAAUCCGCCUGGGGAGUACGUACGCAAGUAUGAAACUCAAAGGAAUUGACGGGGACCCGCACAAGCGGUGGAGCAUGUGGUUUAAUUCGACGCAACGCGAGGAACCUUACCAGCGUUUGACAUC